AUAAAUAUGAGAGCUCCAUAUUAAUCAUAUUAAUAUAUGAUUUUUAUAUUUAUUAAGAUCCUCAAUUUAUAAAAUGUCAAAAAGGAAAACUACUUCUCUUUUUCCAAAAUUAUUUAUAUCGAUAUGCUUAUCAAAAAGAUGAUAGAAUACACUAUCGUUGCAGAAAGGUUGGCUGCAAGGUUUCAUGUAAAUUUGAUGGAAUUUACACAACCUCUGGUUUGCAUGAACACCAAAAUGAAAUCAGUCAGUUUGAAAAACUGAGAACUCACAAGGUUCUAGAGGAUAUUGUUGCCGAAAAUCCUCUAGAGACAAGGCACAAUAUUUAUGGAAAGGCCUUGAAUAAUAGAUGCCUGGAAACGCCCUCCAUCGAAAUGUAUCCAGAGGCAAUGCCCUCAUUUGUUUCAAUUAAGAGUACAAUUGACAGAUUGUUACAAAAAAAUCGGCCCAUUUUGCCUCAAUCUGUGGAUGAACUAGUAUUAUUACCAGAAUACAUCACCACAAAUAAGGGGGAGAUUUUUUAAAUUAAUAAUGAUAAUAAUAAUAUGCUGGUGUUUAAUACAUGUGAAAUGCUAAAACUUGUAGAAAUAUGUGAUGGUGAUAGCAUUUACAUGGACGGCACCUUUUAUGUUGUUCCUCGACUGUACUGUCAAUUGUAUAGUAUCCAUAUAAUGUAUCAAGAAGUUAUGAUACCGAUUAUAUAUGCCCUCCUCCCCGAUAAAAAUAGAGGGACAUAUAUUGAAUUAUUUCAAAUUAUCUCGCAAUUUUGCUCGAUGAAAAAUAUCCGAUUCAAACCUCGAUUUGGACAAACUGAUUACGAGGCCGCAGCUAUAUCGGCACUUAGGUUUGUUUUUUCCAAUAUGUUCAUAAAAGGCUGUUUUUUUCACUAUUCCCAGGCUCGCGUAAAUGUCCGGCGCUGGGUUUAGUUAGCAGUUAUUUGCAUAAUACUACUAUUCAUAAAGUUGUUAGACGAAUGACCACUUUGCCGUUUUGCAAAGAAGAACAUAUUUCCGAGGUACGGGCAUCAUGCCAUGCUCUGUCUGCUGAAUAUCCUUUGCUCAAAAAUUUUAUGGAUUUUACAUGGCUCGGAGUUAAUGCCAUAUUCCCCCGAAAUAUAUGGACCAGGUAUCAGGUUGACGGCCCUAGAACUAACAACCACCUGGAGGGGUAUCAUCAUGCCCUCAAGAGAAAAACAAACGUGGCUCAUCCGAAUAUUUAUUGUCUGAUAAAUAUUUUAAAAAGACAUUAACAUUCGAGUGAGCUUAAGGUCUUACAAAUUAAUAGUGGGUUGAACGUGAGGAGAAAAAAUAAAAAAUUCGAUCAAUUAAAUAUUAACAUUGAUAAUCUAACUCGUAUAUACGAGCGUACAAAUGAAAUAUAUCCUUUUUUAGAUAAUGUUUCAUAUUUUAUAAAACAACAAUC
Molecule: long non-coding RNA, 1419 nt
Organism: Gordionus sp. m RMFG-2023
Lineage: Eukaryota; Metazoa; Nematomorpha; Gordioida; Chordodea; Parachordodidae
Exons: 3
Source: RefSeq, a predicted model, not a curated record